UAUUGCACAAUGGGGGAAACCCUGAUGCAGCGACGCCGCGUGAGUGAAGAAGUAUCUCAGCAUGUAAAGCUCUAUCAGCAGUAAAGAUAAUGACGGUACCUGACUAAGAAGCCCCGGCUAACUACGUGCCAGCAGCCGCGGUAAUACGUAGGGGGCAAGCGUUAUCCGGAUUUACUGGGUGUAAAGGGAGCGUAGACGGCAGCGCAAGUCUGGAGUGAAAUGCCGGGGCCCAACCCCGGAACUGCUUUGGAAACUGUGCGGCUCGAGUGCGGGAGAGGUAGGCGGAAUUCCUAGUGUAGCGGUGAAAUGCGUAGAUAUUAGGAGGAACACCAGUGGCGAAGGCGGCUUACUGGACCGUAACUGACGUUGAGGCUCGAAAGCGUGGGGAGCAAACAGG
This 397-nucleotide ribosomal RNA is filed under the name uncultured bacterium. RNAcentral's name for it is "bacterial SSU rRNA". It matches the Rfam family "Bacterial small subunit ribosomal RNA", at positions 362 to 776 of the family's 1533-position model. The record is from RNAcentral.